This 253-nucleotide ribosomal RNA is filed under the name uncultured bacterium. RNAcentral's name for it is "partial 16S ribosomal RNA". It matches the Rfam family "Bacterial small subunit ribosomal RNA", at positions 524 to 776 of the family's 1533-position model. The record is from RNAcentral.
UACGUAGGGUGCGAGCGUUGUCCGGAAUUAUUGGGCGUAAAGAGCUUGUAGGCGGUUUGUCGCGUCUGCCGUGAAAAUUCGAGGCUCAACCUCGAACUUGCGGUGGGUACGGGCAGACUAGAGUGUGGUAGGGGAGACUGGAAUUCCUGGUGUAGCGGUGAAAUGCGCAGAUAUCAGGAAGAACACCCGUGGCGAAAGCGGCUCUCUGGAACGGUACUGACGCUGAGACGCGAAAGCGUGGGGAGCGAACAGG